AGUGAACGCUGGCGGUAGGCCUAACACAUGUAAGUCGAACGGCAGCACAGUAAGAGCUUGCUCUUACGGGUGGCGAGUGGCGGACGGGUGAGGAAUACAUCGGAAUCUACUUUUUCGUGGGGGAUAACGUAGGGAAACUUACGCUAAUACCGCAUACGACCUACGGGUGAAAGCAGGGGAUCUUCGGACCUUGCGCGAUUGAAUGAGCCGAUGUCGGAUUAGCUAGUUGACGGGGUAAAGGCCCACCAAGGCGACGAUCCGUAGCUGGUCUGAGAGGAUGAUCAGCCACACUGGAACUGAGACACGGUCCAGACUCCUACGGGAGGCAGCAGUGGGGAAUAUUGGACAAUGGGCGCAAGCCUGAUCCAGCCAUACCGCGUGGGUGAAGAAGGCCUUCGGGUUGUAAAGCCCUUUUGUUGGGAAAGAAAAGCAGCAGGUUAAUACCCCGCUGUUCUGACGGUACCCAAAGAAUAAGCACCGGCUAACUUCGUG
Molecule: ribosomal RNA, 492 nt
Filed under: uncultured bacterium
Lineage: Bacteria
Description: partial 16S ribosomal RNA
Rfam family: Bacterial small subunit ribosomal RNA
Source: RNAcentral